This 716-nucleotide ribosomal RNA is filed under the name uncultured fungus. RNAcentral's name for it is "SSU rRNA". It matches the Rfam family "Eukaryotic small subunit ribosomal RNA", at positions 382 to 1099 of the family's 1831-position model. The record is from RNAcentral. Lineage: Eukaryota; Fungi.
ACCGGAGAGGGAGCCUGAGAAACGGCUACCACAUCCAAGGAUGGCAGCAGGCGCGCAAAUUACCCAAUCCCGACACGGGGAGGUAGUGACAAUAAAUAACAAUACGGGGUUCUUUAGGAUCUCGUAAUUGGAAUGAGUACAAUUUAAAUCUCUUAACGAGGAACAAUUGGAGGGCAAGUCUGGUGCCAGCAGCCGCGGUAAUUCCAGCUCCAAUAGCGUAUAUUAAAGUUGUUGCAGUUAAAAAGCUCGUAGUUGAAUUUCGGGGUUAGUAGGUUGGUCAUGCCUCUGGUAUGUACUGGUCUCACUGAUUCCUCCUUCCUUAUGAACCGUAAUGCCAUUAAUUUGGUGUUGCGGGGAAUUUGGACUGUUACUUUGAAAAAAUUAGAGUGUUUAAAGCAAGCUAACGCUUGAAUACAUUAGCAUGGAAUAAUGAAAUAGGACGUUCGAUCUUAUUUUGUUGGUUUCUAGGAUUGACGUAAUGAUUAAUAGGGAUAGUUGGGGGCAUUAGUAUUCAAUUGUCAGAGGUGAAAUUCUUGGAUUUAUUGAAGACUAACUACUGCGAAAGCAUUUGCCAAGGAUGUUUUCAUUAAUCAAGAACGAAAGUUAGGGGAUCGAAGACGAUCAGAUACCGUCGUAGUCUUAACCAUAAACUAUGCCGACUAGGGAUCGGAUGAUGUUAAUUUUUUAAUGACUCAUUCGGCGCCUUACGGGAAACC